RNAcentral lists this ribosomal RNA (628 nucleotides) under uncultured bacterium. Its description in RNAcentral is "bacterial SSU rRNA". It matches the Rfam family "Bacterial small subunit ribosomal RNA", at positions 31 to 677 of the family's 1533-position model. The record is from RNAcentral.
GAACCUUCGGCGUGCUUAACACAUGCAAGUCGAGCGGUGAAGCCCUUUCGGGGGUGGAUCAGCGGCGAACGGGUGAGUAACACGUGGGCAACCUGCCCCUAACACUGGGAUAACUCCGGGAAACCGGGGCUAAUACCGGAUACGACUUCGGACGGCAUCGUCUGUGGUGGAAAGUUCCGGCGGUUAGGGAUGGGCCCGCGGCCUAUCAGCUUGUUGGUGGGGUAAUGGCCCACCAAGGCGACGACGGGUAGCCGGCCUGAGAGGGCGACCGGCCACACUGGGACUGAGACACGGCCCAGACUCCUACGGGAGGCAGCAGUGGGGAAUAUUGCGCAAUGGGCGAAAGCCUGACGCAGCGACGCCGCGUGAGGGAUGAAGGCCUUCGGGUUGUAAACCUCUUUCAGCAGGGACGAAGCGAAAGUGACGGUACCUGCAGAAGAAGCACCGGCUAACUACGUGCCAGCAGCCGCGGUAAUACGUAGGGUGCAAGCGUUGUCCGGAUUUAUUGGGCGUAAAGAGCUCGUAGGCGGUCUGUCGCGUCGGAUGUGAAAACCCAGGCUUAACCCUGGGCCUGCAUUCGAUACGGGCAGACUAGAGUUCGGUAGGGGAGACUGGAAUUCCUGGUGUA